UUCUGUGUGCAGACCCCAGCCUAUUGG
This 27-nucleotide non-coding RNA is filed under the name Mus musculus (house mouse). Lineage: Eukaryota; Metazoa; Chordata; Mammalia; Rodentia; Muridae. The record is from RNAcentral.